Molecule: long non-coding RNA, 973 nt
Organism: Elaeis guineensis (African oil palm)
Lineage: Eukaryota; Viridiplantae; Streptophyta; Magnoliopsida; Arecales; Arecaceae
Source: RefSeq, a predicted model, not a curated record
UCCCAAUCUGCUCCUCCUGCCAAGCCGAGAGCCCGGAUCUUGGGUUCACCGGCUCAGCUCAUCCCACCGCCGCAGCAGCCUCUUCUAACACUUCCAAACCCUUGCCUCUUUGCUCUCGCUCUCUCCCUUCCUCCGCGGUCCUUAAUGGCAUCCCUUCUCCAAAAACUCCUCAGGAGAACCCGUCCUCCUCCACCCCUCCGAAUCCUCCCAUCCCUCACCAAACAAGCCCAUCUCCCAGACCCCUCCUCCCUCCCUCCCCAAAACCCAAUCACGAGAGCCAAUCUCACCCCAACCCCUCCCCCUACUUAUCUUCCAAACGCCGGUGCAGGCGGGCAGCCCCCUCCUUUCUGUCACCCCAUUCAGAUAUACCCACAAUUUCCCUUCUUCUUCCAUGGACUCGUCGAAUCCGAUGCCGAGGAUGCGUCCCGCGAUGGGAUCAGCGAUCGAACGGUGUGGGCCGACAGCGUGAAGAAGAAGAGGAAGAGGAAGAUGAACAAACACAAGUACAAGAAGCUCAGGAAGCGCCUCCGCCGCCAGACUUAGCCUCCCCCGGCUCCAUUUGCUGGACCAUCUUUGUCGAGGAGAAUACGUACCUUCAAAUGGACUAGAAGUUUCUUGUCAGGAGAAAAACUAAAUAAAGAGAAAAGCAUGAAGCACAUCACAUUGCAAUCAUUUCUUUGUUCGAAAUUUUUUUCCCCGGGAGGAGGCCUGCAAAUUGUUGCCCAGGUCGUUGCUACCUGAAGGAAUCCUGGUUGCCUGUGUAUGGUUUGAUGUUUACUGGAGGUGAAGAGUCCUGAGCAUGUCACUAUUUGUGGAAGGAUAUAUUUGUUUGCUGGGCAACUUACAAAGUAGACCUAACUAAUGUAUAUUUUCUUUUUUUUUUUGGUAGGAAACUAAUGUAUAUUUUCUUUGUUGGCAGAUGGAAAGCAUAUGUUAAACAUAUGUUGUUUUUCCUAAUAUUCGAGUCUUAGUU